AUUGAACGCUGGCGGCAUGCCUUACACAUGCAAGUCGAACGGUAACGGGCCUUCGGGUGCCGACGAGUGGCGAACGGGUGAGUAAUACAUCGGAACGUGCCCGAUCGUGGGGGAUAACGAGGCGAAAGCUUUGCUAAUACCGCAUACGAUCUACGGAUGAAAGCAGGGGACCGCAAGGCCUUGCGCGGACGGAGCGGCCGGUGGCAGAUUAGGUAGUUGGUGGGAUAAAAGCUUACCAAGCCGACGAUCUGUAGCUGGUCUGAGAGGAUGAUCAGCCACACUGGGACUGAGACACGGCCCAGACUCCUACGGGAGGCAGCAGUGGGGAAUUUUGGACAAUGGGCGCAAGCCUGAUCCAGCCAUGCCGCGUGCAGGAUGAAGGCCUUCGGGUUGUAAACUGCUUUUGUACGGAACGAAAAGCCUUCUUUUAAUACAGGAGGGUCAUGACGGUACCGUAAGAAUAAGCACCGGCGAACUACGU
This 481-nucleotide ribosomal RNA is filed under the name uncultured bacterium. RNAcentral's name for it is "partial 16S ribosomal RNA". It matches the Rfam family "Bacterial small subunit ribosomal RNA", at positions 30 to 506 of the family's 1533-position model. The record is from RNAcentral.